Molecule: ribosomal RNA, 496 nt
Filed under: uncultured bacterium
Lineage: Bacteria
Description: partial 16S ribosomal RNA
Rfam family: Bacterial small subunit ribosomal RNA
Source: RNAcentral
AUGCACGCUGGCGGCGUGCCUAAUCCAUGCAAGUCGAGCGAACAGACGAGGAGCUUGCUCCUCUGACGUUAGCGGCGGACGGGUGAGUAACACGUGGAUAACCUACCUAUAAGACUGGGAUAACUUCGGGAAACCGGAGCUAAUACCGGAUAAUAUAUUGAACCGCAUGGUUCAAUAGUGAAAGACGGUUUUGCUGUCACUUAUAGAUGGAUCCGCGCCGCAUUAGCUAGUUGGUAAGGUAACGGCUUACCAAGGCAACGAUGCGUAGCCGACCUGAGAGGGUGAUCGGCCACACUGGAACUGAGACACGGUCCAGACUCCUACGGGAGGCAGCAGUAGGGAAUCUUCCGCAAUGGGCGAAAGCCUGACGGAGCAACGCCGCGUGAGUGAUGAAGGUCUUCGGAUCGUAAAACUCUGUUAUUAGGGAAGAACAAAUGUGAAAGUAACUAUGCACGUCUUGACGGUACCUAAUCAGAAAGCCACGGCUAACUACGUG